This 522-nucleotide ribosomal RNA is filed under the name uncultured fungus. Its description in RNAcentral is "eukaryotic LSU rRNA". The stretch from base 154 to 307 matches the Rfam family "5.8S ribosomal RNA". The record is from RNAcentral. Lineage: Eukaryota; Fungi.
UCCGUAGGUGAACCUGCGGAGGGAUCAUUACAGAGUGCCCACUGGCUCUGCAACCCUUGCGAACAUACGUGUUGCCUCGGCGGGGUCACCCGCCAGAGGCCACCCAAUACCCUGUUAGCCGUCGUCUUCUGACUGAGAUAUUAAAUUUAUAAAAACUUUCAACAACGGAUCUCUUGGCUCCGGCAUCGAUGAAGAACGCAGCGAAAUGCGAUAACUAGUGUGAAUUGCAGAAUUCAGUGAACCAUCGAGUCUUUGAACGCACAUUGCGGCCGCUGGUAUUCCGGCGGCCACGCCUGUCCGAGCGCCACACACCACCCUCAGGCCUUGCCUGGUGUUGGAGGGCCCUGGAGUUUUUUGCCCCAGGGCCCCCGAAACGACAGUGGCGGCGACGCUGACGACGCAACGCGAGCAGUAGUAACACUCUCGCGGGCCCGCAGCGCUGCCUGCCGGCUCCUUUUAGGGGCCGCAACAACUUAUCACAAGGUUGGCCUCGGAUCAGGCGGGAAUACCCGCUGAACUUAA